This 434-nucleotide long non-coding RNA is filed under the name Numida meleagris (helmeted guineafowl). RNAcentral's name for it is "lncRNA (ENSNMEG00000010105.1)". The record is from RNAcentral. Lineage: Eukaryota; Metazoa; Chordata; Aves; Galliformes; Numididae.
UAUGAAUGUGGAUAUGCAAAUCAAACAUGUUUGUUUCUUUGUUUCCCCAGGGAAAACUUGAAGAGUCUUUCACUUUUCAUCCUCCAGUCACUGAUUGGGCUAUAAGGACACUGUGUGAGGUGGUGGGAGCAAAAAGCAGCUGUUUUCCUGACCCCUUACCGUCUAGCAUAGAAUUUGAUGGACAGAAUAUUGGUACCAGCUGUGGAAGAGCUGUUCAGCCUCAACUCCAGCUCUUGCAGUGAGGUUUAAUAUCUUUUGAUGCAACAAAGGUUCUUACGGGAUCAGAGAUUUACUGUGUAAGAACUGCAACAUUACAACUGUUCACUGAUUUUUAAACUGCUGUAUCUGGAAUGAAACAGAAAAAUCCUGAAUGAAGUAGAACUGGGAAGUCCUGUAACCUGUGCAUUAUCUAUGCAGGUUCCUCUGAAAGUAAC